AGGACGAACGCUGGCGGCGUGCUUAACACAUGCAAGUCGAGCGGUAAGGCCUUUCGGGGUACACGAGCGGCGAACGGGUGAGUAACACGUGGGUGAUCUGCCCUGCACUCUGGGAUAAGCCUGGGAAACUGGGUCUAAUACCGGAUAUGACCUGCUCUCGCAUGGGGGUGGGUGGAAAGAUUUAUCGGUGCAGGAUGGGCCCGCGGCCUAUCAGCUUGUUGGUGGGGUAUGGCCUACCAAGGCGACGACGGGUA
This 254-nucleotide ribosomal RNA is filed under the name uncultured soil bacterium. RNAcentral describes it as "partial 16S ribosomal RNA". It matches the Rfam family "Bacterial small subunit ribosomal RNA", at positions 26 to 285 of the family's 1533-position model. The record is from RNAcentral.